GCGGACCGAUGGGAGCUUGCUCCCUGAGGUCAGCGGCGGAGGGUGAGUAACACGUGGGUACCUGCCUGUAAGACUGGGAUAACUCCGGGAAACCGGGGCUAAUACCGGAUGCUUGAUUGAACCGCAGGUUCAAUUAUAAAAGGUGGCUUCUGCCUUCCACUAACGAAGGGCCCCCGGCCCAAUAACUUGGUUGUGAAGGAACCGCCCCACCAGGGCAACAAUCCGAACCCAACCGGAAAGGUGAAUGGGCCCCCCGGGAACGAAACCCCGCCCAAAAUCCCACCGGAAGGAACCAUUAGGAAACUUCCCCCAUGGAACAAAGUCCGAACGAACCACCCCCCCGGGGUU
Molecule: ribosomal RNA, 348 nt
Filed under: Bacillus licheniformis
Lineage: Bacteria; Bacillati; Bacillota; Bacilli; Caryophanales; Bacillaceae
Description: partial 16S ribosomal RNA
Rfam family: Bacterial small subunit ribosomal RNA
Source: RNAcentral